This 497-nucleotide ribosomal RNA is filed under the name uncultured soil bacterium. Its description in RNAcentral is "bacterial SSU rRNA". It matches the Rfam family "Bacterial small subunit ribosomal RNA", at positions 45 to 590 of the family's 1533-position model. The record is from RNAcentral.
GGCCUAACACAUGCAAGUCGAACGCCCCGCAAGGGGAGUGGCAGACGGGUGAGUAACACGUGGGAACGUACCCUUUGGUUCGGAACAACUCCGGGAAACUGGAGCUAAUACCGGAUAAGCCCCUCGGGGGAAAGAUUUAUCGCCUAAGGAUCGGCCCGCGUCGGAUUAGCUAGUUGGCGGGGUAAAAGCCUACCAAGGCGACGAUCCGUAGCUGGUCUGAGAGGAUGACCAGCCACACUGGGACUGAGACACGGCCCAGACUCCUACGGGAGGCAGCAGUGGGGAAUAUUGGACAAUGGGCGCAAGCCUGAUCCAGCCAUGCCGCGUGAGUGAUGAAGGCCUUAGGGUUGUAAAGCUCUUUCGCCAGGGACGAUAAUGACGGUACCUGGAUAAGAAGCCCCGGCUAACUUCGUGCCAGCAGCCGCGGUAAUACGAAGGGGGCUAGCGUUGUUCGGAAUUACUGGGCGUAAAGCGCAUGUAGGCGGAUCGCUAAGUCA